UACGUAGGGCGCAAGCGUUGUCCGGAAUUAUUGGGCGUAAAGAGCUCGUAGGCGGUUUGUCGCGUCUGUCGUGAAAGCUUGGGGCUUAACCCCAAGUCUGCGGUGGAUACGGGCAGACUAGAGGCAGGUAGGGGAGAACGGAAUUCCCGGUGUAGCGGUGAAAUGCGCAGAUAUCAGGAGGAACACCGGUGGCGAAGGGGGUCUCUGGGCAACAACUGACGCUGAGGAGCGAAAGCGUGGGGAGCGAACAGG
This 252-nucleotide ribosomal RNA is filed under the name uncultured bacterium. RNAcentral describes it as "partial 16S ribosomal RNA". It matches the Rfam family "Bacterial small subunit ribosomal RNA", at positions 524 to 776 of the family's 1533-position model. The record is from RNAcentral.